Molecule: long non-coding RNA, 3011 nt
Organism: Papaver somniferum (opium poppy)
Lineage: Eukaryota; Viridiplantae; Streptophyta; Magnoliopsida; Ranunculales; Papaveraceae
Exons: 6
Source: RefSeq, a predicted model, not a curated record
AUGUUCUUCUCUCACAACAGAUACACUUCAGGUUUAUUUUGUUGUCUGCAUUUUUUUUUUGCUUUCUGUAGGUCUCAUUUCUUCUCGAUUUUCUAUUUUCUUACCUGUCUGCUUACUUCAACAGAGAUAAUCAUUAAACCCCAGAUUACCAGAUAUCCGUACGUUCGUUUCCUUCAACUAAUUUCACAAACCAGAAACUUGAAAACCUAGAAAACUCUAGUUUCAAAAAUCUAACCUAUUUUGCGUGUUCUUUGUUUGGUAAACCCUAGCAAACAAAUCUUAUAUGCUACACGUCUGAGGCUCUAAGAAGAAUCAGAAUCAGUUCUGGUGGCAUAAUGAAGGCCAUAGACAGGUUUCCGCUUAACCUACUUCUGUGGUAGUACAUCUCUAUAUAGGUAGCAAGGUAUUCCAUACAGUCCAUUUUUGGAAGCGUCAUGUCGGACUCUCGGACAUGUAUCAGUAUCGGAUACGCUUACCAGUAUCUAUGCAAGCCAGCUAUGGUUAACUUGUUUUUCCGCUUUGUGCAAUUUGCUGUUAACUUUUAGAUUGUGAUGGCUUGCUAAGCAUGUGUCAGAUGUUGUGCAACUGUAGUUAUACUUCUAAAAUGAUUUGAAAUAUAUGUGGCUGUGCAGUACUUCGGUAGAUCGAUUUCCAUUCACCCAAGUUCCUGUGGAGAGAUUGUAUGAAGUGUUUUUCUUAACCAUUGUCAUUGCUUGCCAUGGUAUCUUCAUUUUGUAUUCGGUGGUGCAACUUUAGAAAAUUGAAUAUAAGAAUGUGGGGCUUUCUUGUGGACCAUUUUAUGAUGUACUUGUGGAAAGAACGUAAGUUUAAUAAGUUAUGCAUGUAAUAGGAUAUACAAAAUUUCUGAUCAAUUGUUCAACUACACACUAGUUUAUCACUCUAUGCUGCAUAUUCUGGUUUGUUUGCUUACUCAUUGUCAGUAUUAAGUUUUUGGUUCGAUGGGUCACUCUGUUUUUGUUAAAAAAUGCUAGGGAAUUUGUUAUAUGGAUUGCUUUAUAGCUGUUGGUUUGUCAGAAAAUUCGAUUGCUUAAAUUCUGUAGCUGUUUGCAUUGUAGUUUGUUGACAUUCUGUAGCUGUUAGCUUAAAUUUCUGUUUACUCAAAGUAUGUCAUGUUGUUUCAUUUUGGUUGUACUUUGUUGGGCUGUGAGAAAGAAUUGUAUGUAUUGCAUUGUAGUUUUAUACAAUGGCAUUUCUUUGAGCUUAUGUUGGGUUUCUACUCUCUACGUGGUGAAUUGAUCGACUUAUUGAUCUUUUUCUUAAUGUAGAAUGUCUCAAAAAUGUGAUAAAGGUUGGAUGAGUGAAGAUAGGUUUAGUGAUGUCUAUAGGAAAGGGGUGGAUACUUUUAUUAGAUUUGCAUAUAGGAACAGAAUAAGAAAUUCACGAUUCUGUCCCUGCCCGUGUCGUGUUUGUAAAAAUAAGAAAUCUCUGAGUUUUGCGCUAGUGAAGCAUGAUUUACUGGUAAACUCAAUAGAUCAGACAUAUCUAGUUUGGUCUAUACAUGGAGUGAAAACCACAAGAACAUUACAUGUAGUGAAGGAGCAUGUAGAAGAAAAUGCAGAUGAUGAAAAUGUGCUUAAAGAAACUUUAGUGGAGGAACAAGUAGAAGAUAAUUUUAGAGAGGAACAGUGUGAGUUAGGGGAUUUUGUAGACAAUGCCUAUGGAGUAUUUGAAGGGUUAGAGAAUGAUUUAGAUGAAGAUAAUCCUCAAUAUUCCUUUGCUCAACAGCCUGACCUAUGGAGUACAAGGACUUAGCUAAGGGAAAAAUCUAUUCGACAUGCGAGGGUGAUAGUGAGAAGAACCCUGAAAAGAUGCCAAAGAAUUUGGUGAAUUCACAAAGCAAAAAGUGUAGCAUUGUCCAGCAAUCAGCAUACACUUGGGAGGUGCACAUCCUACAACAACAAGAAGUAUAAAGUAGAUCAACCGACCGGAAAAACUGUACCACCAUCAACUAAAGAGAAGUGGUUGUAUGGACACUUAAGAAGUGAUGGUACUGCGCAUCCUAGCGCAGCUGAGGCACAUAAGAAGGUAACAGUAACAGAGGCUCUAGAGAGGAAUAAAGGAAAAGGAGUUCAGCCAAAUCCGAGUAACUUGAUUUCUGAUGAACUUGAUGAGGUGUUUGGAAGAAACAAAAAUGGCGGGAUUCGUGGCUACUCAUCCCAUAUGUCAAAGGCGCAGGUUCAAAUGGCAGUAAUUGGAAAUUUGUGCCCUUCAACAAAAAGAUAGUGAUUAUGCGCAAAAACUAAACAAAAUUGAUGCCCACAUAAGGUGUAUUGGCGGUACACUGACCGGCAUCUGAAGAGAUUUAGACUCCAUAUUAGACAAAGUGAAUGAGAUUAUAACCUGCCUGAAACGCAAGGCGCCGACAUCAGCAUCUCGCUUAGGCACCCCCAGCCCAGAAAAAAGGUCAACUUCUAAUGCAGUUCCUCCAAAUGAACAUGUCAUGAAUAGCGCCGACAGUAGUACAACUAAUCUGUUUUCAUCAGACCGAGUUGAACUACUAGAUAAUAGAGGAAAGGUUGUCGCCUCAGGAGUUGUCGAGAGCGGUGUUAAUGGUGAAUUUUGUCAUUUUAGAAAAGUGAAGCCAACCGAGAAGAAGAUCUUUAUCAAGGAAGUGUAUGAUCAAUCAGCGGUAGUCUGGGAUGGUCCACAGGGAAAUGGUUUUCACUAUUUAAGACAGUUGUUACUGCCUACUUGGUUGAUCUGGUCCGCAGAUAGGUUGCAACCUGUGGGUAGCCGCCAGGAAUGAUAUCUUGCUUGUGAUCUUUUUGGGGUUCUUUUUUCACAGCGAAGAUAGACAAACCAGUUGGCGUCGAACAUCAGUGUUUUGUUAUUUCAGUCGUAGUUGUGUUCUUGUUGCACAGCAUGUACAGGUUGGACACAAGCAUGGGAAAAGUAUAACUUGUUAUUGCUGGUUGGACACAAGCAUGGGGAAAACAUCAGUGUUCUGUCCUUUUUUGUUAUUUCAGCCGUAGUUGUAUUCGUUUGCGCAA